GCUUCCUUGGCUCAGUUGGCUAGAGCGCAGGUCUCAUACUGAGUAUGAUGUUAAUGAUUUGAACAAUAAUCCUGAGGUCGCAAGUUCGAGCCUUGCAGGGAGCA
Molecule: non-coding RNA, 104 nt
Organism: Marasmius fiardii PR-910
Lineage: Eukaryota; Fungi; Basidiomycota; Agaricomycetes; Agaricales; Marasmiaceae
Source: the annotation of a GenBank genome assembly